AGAUAAGCUGUGAUUGCUGUAGAAAAAGGCUAUUCCUUCUCUUGUCACAAGAAUAGCUCUUCUUUAGCGAAAGUCUUCUGAUGUAGGCUUACUUUCUUACGUUCGUUCUUAGCCUGAGAACUAGGAGUUCAGCUUCAAUCCCAUUUGCUUUCUUUGGCGACUGUAGCCUUAGAGAGCCUUCCCUUACAGAUGCGCUAUUCCCCUCAAAUCUCCUUAUUAGCGAGGGAAUUGAUUCAAUAUCGCCUUGACCCGAUCCUU
This 258-nucleotide unclassified non-coding RNA is filed under the name Hevea brasiliensis (rubber tree). Lineage: Eukaryota; Viridiplantae; Streptophyta; Magnoliopsida; Malpighiales; Euphorbiaceae. The record is from RNAcentral.